UACGUAGGGGGCAAGCGUUGUCCGGAAUCAUUGGGCGUAAAGAGCGCGUAGGCGGUCCGGUAAGUCCGCUCUGAAAGUCCGGGGCUCAACCCCGGGAGGCGGGCGGAUACUGUCGGGCUAGAGUCCGGAAGAGGCGAGUGGAAUUCCUGGUGUAGCGGUGAAAUGCGCAGAUAUCAGGAGGAACACCAAUGGCGAAGGCAGCUCGCUGGGACGGUACUGACGCUGAGGCGCGAAAGCGUGGGGAGCGAUCCGG
This 253-nucleotide ribosomal RNA is filed under the name uncultured bacterium. Its description in RNAcentral is "partial 16S ribosomal RNA". It matches the Rfam family "Bacterial small subunit ribosomal RNA", at positions 524 to 776 of the family's 1533-position model. The record is from RNAcentral.